Molecule: regulatory RNA element, 112 nt
Organism: Clostridiales bacterium PH28_bin88
Lineage: Bacteria; Bacillati; Bacillota; Clostridia; Eubacteriales
Rfam family: PyrR binding site
About the family: This family represents the PyrR binding site and terminator structure. This RNA structure is found upstream of a variety of genes involved in pyrimidine biosynthesis and transport. The alignment also includes a portion of the antiterminator structure.
Source: Rfam
UGAUCCUUUAAGCCGGUCCCGCGAGGCCGGUAAGGAGCUACGGUCAGGGUAUGCCCGUGUAGACGUGGGAUAUCAAGGCCUCCUUGCCGCUGGGACAAGGAGGCCUUUUGUU